Molecule: ribosomal RNA, 494 nt
Filed under: uncultured bacterium
Lineage: Bacteria
Description: partial 16S ribosomal RNA
Rfam family: Bacterial small subunit ribosomal RNA
Source: RNAcentral
GACGAACGCUGGCGGCGUGCUUAACACAUGCAAGUCGAACGGUGAAGCGCCUUCCUUUUUGGUGGGUGUGGAUGAGUGGCGAACGGGUGAGUAACACGUGAGUAACCUGCCCCCUUCUUCUGGAUAACCGCAUGAAAGUGUGGCUAAUACGGGAUAUUCUGGGUCUGUCGCAUGAUGGGUCUGGGAAAGAUAUUGUUUCGGUGGGGGAUGGGCUCGCGGCCUAUCAGCUUGUUGGUGGGGUGAUGGCCUACCAAGGCGGUGACGCGUAGCCGGCCUGAGAGGGUGGACGGUCACACUGGGACUGCGACACGGCCCAGACUCCUACGGGAGGCAGCAGUGGGGAAUAUGGCACAAUGGGCGCAAGCCUGAUGCAGCGACGCCGCGUGAGGGAUGGAGGCCUUCGGGUUGUGAACCUCUUUCGCCAGUGAAGCAGGCCUGCCUCGUUUGUGGGUGGGUUGACGGUAGCUGGAGAAGAAGCGCCGGCUAACUACGUG